RNAcentral lists this microRNA precursor (164 nucleotides) under Oryza brachyantha (malo sina). Its description in RNAcentral is "MIR812 microRNA precursor family". It matches the Rfam family "MIR812 microRNA precursor family", at positions 27 to 190 of the family's 205-position model. The record is from Rfam by way of RNAcentral. Lineage: Eukaryota; Viridiplantae; Streptophyta; Magnoliopsida; Poales; Poaceae.
UAUAAUGUUUUAACUCUUCAUCUUAUUUAAAAUUUUUUUACGAUUAAUAUUUUUAUUCUUACUAGAUGAUAAAACAUGAAUAGUACUUUAUGCUUGACUAAUUUUAAGUUUUCGUACAAAUAUUUUAAAUAAGACGAAUGGUGAAACGUUGGAUGCGAAAAAAC